CCCGGCGGGUGCGGGCAGCGCUCGGGGGAAGGGGCGCCGCUCUCCCCCGGCCCGGCGGGCAGCCGCGGCCAUCCGGGGAGAGCCCGAGCGGAUCCCGGCGGCGGGGCCGCGGAUCAGCACCACGGACAGCGCCCGGCGGGGCCGCGCCGGGACACGAGCCCGGCACCGGGAAGCGGCACCGCGCACCGGCGGGUGCGGGCAGGACUCUCCCGGGACAUCACCGCCCACCCAGAGCCACCGAGGCGGCGCUGGAUGUUCGCCGGGGCCGGGUUCUCACCCAGUGCUGACGAAGGUGGGCUUGGAGCUCUGAGCAGGUUUUACGUGACCUCAUGAGGGGCUGCACAGGAGCAGUUUUCCUUUUUGUUAACACGAGCAGAGAACCGAAGAAGCGAUCUCUCGAAGGAUCCCGGCUGGCAGCAGUAUCACCAUCUGACUGAAGAGAACUCAGCCACACGCAUAAUCCUCGGGAAAAUUCAUCUCCACCCUCCCGCAGACCCCGGUGAGAGCCCUUGAAGUGGUAAUUAAAGUCUAUUGAGUGGCAACUGCACCUGUUUAGAGAGGAGAGUGCGAGGAAGAGGUGCACAAAGGGAGAUGAGCAGCGGAGAGAGGAACUGCUGGAGGUGGGGAGGAGGAGAAGUGGAAGGAAGGAAGGAGGGAAAAGGUGUUUGUUGAAGUCGAUCCAAUCUGCUGUGCAUUUCCAUCCUGCCCU
RNAcentral lists this long non-coding RNA (709 nucleotides) under Lonchura striata (white-rumped munia). RNAcentral describes it as "domestica (Bengalese finch) lncRNA (ENSLSDG00000002544.1)". The record is from RNAcentral. Lineage: Eukaryota; Metazoa; Chordata; Aves; Passeriformes; Estrildidae.